This 253-nucleotide ribosomal RNA is filed under the name uncultured bacterium. Its description in RNAcentral is "partial 16S ribosomal RNA". It matches the Rfam family "Bacterial small subunit ribosomal RNA", at positions 524 to 776 of the family's 1533-position model. The record is from RNAcentral.
UACGUAGGGGGCGAGCGUUGUCCGGAAUGACUGGGCGUAAAGGGCGCGUAGGCGGAGUGCUUUGUCGGGCGUGAAAUUCCAGGGCUCAACCUUGGGGCUGCGUUCGAGACGGGCAUUCUAGAGUGGAGAAGAGGGUCGUGGAAUUCCCAGUGUAGAGGUGAAAUUCGUAGAUAUUGGGAAGAACACCGGUGGCGAAGGCGGCGACCUGGUCUUUUACUGACGCUGAGGCGCGAAAGUGUGGGGAGCAAACAGG